CCUACGGGUGGCAGCAGUGGGGAAUAUUGCACAAUGGGCGCAAGCCUGAUGCAGCAACGCCGCGUGAGGGAUGAAUGCCCUCUGGUUGUUAAGCUCUUUUCUCAAGGAAGAUAAUGGCUGUACUUGAGGAGGUAGCCCCGUCCAAUACCGUGCAAGCAGCGGUGGUAUUACGUCGGGGGCUGCGGUUAUCCGGAGUUACGGGGCGUAAGGGGGGCGUAGGGGGUUUCUAAGGUAAGAGGUAAAAGGCUCCGGCCCACCCGUAGAAAGCAUUUGAAACUGGCGAACUUGAGUACAGGAGAGGUGGGCGGAAUUCCUAGUGUAGCGGUGAAAUGCGUAGAUAUUACGAGGAACACCAGUUGCGAAGGCAGCUCACUGGACUGUAACUGACACUGAGGCACGAAAGCGUGGGGAGCAAACAGGAUUAGAUACCCUUGUAGUC
Molecule: ribosomal RNA, 439 nt
Filed under: uncultured bacterium
Lineage: Bacteria
Description: partial 16S ribosomal RNA
Rfam family: Bacterial small subunit ribosomal RNA
Source: RNAcentral